CGGUAACAGGAGAAGCUUGCUUCUCGCUGACGAGCGGCGGACGGGUGAGUAAUACUUAGGAAUCUACCUAGUAGUGGGGGAUAGCACGGGGAAACUCGUAUUAAUACCGCAUACGACCUACGGGAGAAAGGGGGCAGUUUACUGCUCUCGCUAUUAGAUGAGCCUAAGUCGGAUUAGCUAGAUGGUGGGGUAAAGGCCUACCAUGGCGACGAUCUGUAGCUGGUCUGAGAGGAUGAUCAGCCACACCGGGACUGAGACACGGCCCGGACUCCUACGGGAGGCAGCAGUGGGGAAUAUUGGACAAUGGGGGAAACCCUGAUCCAGCCAUGCCGCGUGUGUGAAGAAGGCCUUUUGGUUGUAAAGCACUUUAAGCAGUGAAGAAGACUCCAUGGUUAAUACCCAUGGACGAUGACAUUAGCUGCAGAAUAAGCACCGGCUAACUCUGUGCCAGCAGCCGCGGUAAUACAGAGGGUGCAAGCGUUAAUCGGAAUUACUGGGCGUAAAGGGAGCGUAGGUGGCUCUAUAAGUCAGAUGUGAAAUCCCCGGGCUUAACCUGGGAACUGCAUCUGAAACUGUAGAGCUAGAGUAUGUGAGAGGAAGGUAGAAUUCCAGGUGUAGCGGUGAAAUGCGUAGAGAUCUGGAGGAAUACCGAUGGCGAAGGCAGCCUUCUGGCAUAAUACUGACACUGAGGCUCGAAAGCGUGGGUAGCAAACAGGAUUA
Molecule: ribosomal RNA, 720 nt
Filed under: gamma proteobacterium GM9
Lineage: Bacteria; Pseudomonadati; Pseudomonadota; Gammaproteobacteria
Description: bacterial SSU rRNA
Rfam family: Bacterial small subunit ribosomal RNA
Source: RNAcentral